AGAGUUUGAUCCUGGCUCAGGACGAACGCUGGCGGCGCGCCUAACACAUGCAAGUCGAACGAGAGAGAGGGAGCUUGCUUCCUCAAUCGAGUGGCGAACGGGUGAGUAACGCGUGAGGAACCUGCCUCAAAGAGGGGGACAACAGUUGGAAACGACUGCUAAUACCGCAUAAGCCCACAGGUCGGCAUCGACCAGAGGGAAAAGGAGCAAUCCGCUUUGAGAUGGCCUCGCGUCCGAUUAGCUAGUUGGUGAGGUAACGGCCCACCAAGGCAACGAUCGGUAGCCGGACUGAGAGGUUGAACGGCCACAUUGGGACUGAGACACGGCCCAGACUCCUACGGGAGGCAGCAGUGGGGAAUAUUGCACAAUGGGGGAAACCCUGAUGCAGCGACGCCGCGUGGAGGAAGAAGGUCUUCGGAUUGUAAACUCCUGUUGUUGAGGAAGACAAUGACGGUACUCAACAAGGAAGUGACGGCUAACUACGUGCCAGCAGCCGCGGUAAAACGUAGGUCACAAGCGUUGUCCGGAAUUACUGGGUGUAAAGGGAGCGCAGGCGGGAAGACAAGUUGGAAGUGAAAUCUAUGGGCUCAACCCAUAAACUGCUUUCAAAACUGUUUUUCUUGAGUAGUGCAGAGGUAGGCGGAAUUCCCGGUGUAGCGGUGGAAUGCGUAGAUAUCGGGAGGAACACCAGUGCGAAGGCGGCCUACUGGGCACCAACUGACGCUGAGGCUCGAAAGUGUGGGUAGCAAACAGGAUUAGAUACCCUGGUAGUCCACACCGUAAACGAUGAUUACUAGGUGUUGGAGGAUUGACCCCUUCAGUGCCGCAGUUAACACAAUAAGUAAUCCACCUGGGGAGUACGACCGCAAGGUUGAAACUCAAAGGAAUUGACGGGGGCCCGCACAAGCAGUGGAGUAUGUGGUUUAAUUCGACGCAACGCGAAGAACCUUACCAAGUCUUGACAUCCUGCGACGCACAUAGAAAUAUGUGUUUCCUUCGGGACGCAGAGACAGGUGGUGCAUGGUCGUCGUCAGCUCGUGUCGUGAGAUGUUGGGUUAAGUCCCGCAACGAGCGCAACCCUUACUGUCAGUUACUACGCAAGAGGACUCUGGCAGGACUGCCGUUGACAAAACGGAGGAAGGUGGGGAUGACGUCAAAUCAUCAUGCCCUUUAUGACUUGGGCUACACACGUACUACAAUGGCGUUAAACAAAGAGAAGCAAGACCGCGAGGUGGAGCAAAACUCAGAAACAACGUCCCAGUUCGGACUGCAGGCUGCAACUCGCCUGCACGAAGUCGGAAUUGCUAGUAAUCGUGGAUCAGCAUGCCACGGUGAAUACGUUCCCGGGCCUUGUACACACCGCCCGUCACACCAUGAGAGCCGGGGGGACCCGAAGUCGGUAG
This 1403-nucleotide ribosomal RNA is filed under the name metagenome. RNAcentral's name for it is "bacterial SSU rRNA". It matches the Rfam family "Bacterial small subunit ribosomal RNA". The record is from RNAcentral.